Molecule: small RNA, 134 nt
Filed under: Salmonella enterica subsp. enterica serovar Senftenberg
Lineage: Bacteria; Pseudomonadati; Pseudomonadota; Gammaproteobacteria; Enterobacterales; Enterobacteriaceae
Also listed under: 11 other names
Description: RtT sRNA
Rfam family: RtT RNA
About the family: This family represents a bacterial cis-regulatory element known as RtT RNA. The exact function of RtT is unknown although it is thought that it may be involved in changing the cellular response in relation to amino acid starvation.
Source: RNAcentral
UGUAUCUGAAGCCUGACGAGGAUGAGAACCUCCGGGGGCAAGAGGUUCGACUCGAGCGCAGCGAGAGAACGUUGCUUCAGCAACGGCCCGCAGGGCGAGCCACGCAGUGGCGAGUCAUCCUCUAUCACCGGCAG